RNAcentral lists this ribosomal RNA (837 nucleotides) under Stenopelmatus talpa. Its description in RNAcentral is "SSU rRNA". It matches the Rfam family "Eukaryotic small subunit ribosomal RNA", at positions 482 to 1231 of the family's 1831-position model. The record is from RNAcentral. Lineage: Eukaryota; Metazoa; Arthropoda; Insecta; Orthoptera; Stenopelmatidae.
GAUACGGGACUCAUCCGAGGCCCCGUAAUCGGAAUGAGCACACUUUAAAUCCUUUAACGAGUAUCCAUUGGAGGGCAAGUCUGGUGCCAGCAGCCGCGGUAAUUCCAGCUCCAAUAGCGUAUAUUAAAGUUGUUGCGGUUAAAAAGCUCGUAGUUGGACUUGUGUCCCACGCUGUCGGUUCACCGCCCGUCGGUGUCUAACUGGCAUGGUUCGUGGGACGUCCUGCCGGUGGUGGCGAGUCGAAGGAGCGCGCCCGUCGUGGUUCACGCCGCGAUCGAGGUUGCGGUCCGGAGACGGACCCCGAUGAAAUCCUACCGCGGUGCUCUUCACCGAGUGUCGAGGUGGGCCGGCACGUUUACUUUGAACAAAUUAGAGUGCUUAAAGCAGGCCUGUUGCGCCUGAAUACUGUGUGCAUGGAAUAAUGGAAUAGGACCUCGGUUCUAUUUUGUUGGUUUUCGGAACCCGAGGUAAUGAUUAAUAGGGACAGUCGGGGGCAUUCGUAUUGCGACGUUAGAGGUGAAAUUCUUGGAUCGUCGCAAGACGGACCGAAGCGAAAGCAUUUGCCAAGUAUGUUUUCAUUAAUCAAGAACGAAAGUUAGAGGUUCGAAGGCGAUCAGAUACCGCCCUAGUUCUAACCAUAAACGAUGCCAGCUAGCGAUCCGCCGAAGUUCCUCCGAUGACUCGGCGGGCAGCUCCCGGGAAACCAAAGCUUUUGGGUUCCGGGGGAAGUAUGGUUGCAAAGCUGAAACUUAAAGGAAUUGACGGAAGGGCACCACCAGGAGUGGAGCCUGCGGCUUAAUUUGACUCAACACGGGAAACCUCACCAGGCCCGGACAC